Molecule: ribosomal RNA, 401 nt
Filed under: uncultured bacterium
Lineage: Bacteria
Description: bacterial SSU rRNA
Rfam family: Bacterial small subunit ribosomal RNA
Source: RNAcentral
GGGGAAUCUUGCACAAUGGGGGAAACCCUGAUGCAGCGACGCCGCGUGAGCGAAGAAGCCUUUCGGGGUGUAAAGCUCUUACGCCAGGGACGAUAAUGACGGUACCUGGAGAAGCAGCUGCGGCUAACUACGUGCCAGCAGCCGCGGUAAUACGUAGGCAGCAAGCGUUGUUCGGAAUUACUGGGCGUAAAGGGUGCGUAGGCGGCGCUUUAAGUUUGGUGUGAAAUCUCCCGGCUCAACCGGGAGGGUGCACUGAAAACUGGGGCGCUCGAGUAUGGGAGAGGAAAGCGGAAUUCCUGGUGUAGCGGUGAAAUGCGUAGAAAUCAGGAGGAACACCCGCGGUGUAGACGGCUUUCCGGACCAUGACUGACGCUGAGGCACGAAAGCGUGGGGAGCAAACA